RNAcentral lists this ribosomal RNA (406 nucleotides) under uncultured bacterium. RNAcentral describes it as "partial 16S ribosomal RNA". It matches the Rfam family "Bacterial small subunit ribosomal RNA", at positions 30 to 526 of the family's 1533-position model. The record is from RNAcentral.
AUUGAACGCUGGCGGCAGGCCUAACACAUGCAAGUCGAACGAGUGGCGGACGGGUGUGUUAUGUCUGGGACACCGCCUGAUGGAGGGGGAUCACUACUGGAAACGGUCGCUAAUCCCGCAUACCAUGAGAUGUGCCCAGGUGGGAGUAGCUUGUGGGGGGGGUAACGGCUCACCAAGGCGACGAUCCCUAGCUGGGCUGAGAGGAUGACCAGCCACACUGGAACUGAGACACGGUCCAGACUCCUACGGGAGGCAGCAGUGGGGAAUAUUGCACAAUGGGCGCAAGCCUGAUGCAGCCAUGCCGCGUGUAUGAAGAAGGCCUUCGGGUUGUAAAGUACUUUCAGCGGGGAGGCGUUACCCGCAGAAGAAGCACCGGCUAACUCCGUGCCAGCCGCCGCGGUAAUAC